UACGGAAGGCAGCAGUGGGGAAUAUUGCACAAUGGGCGAAAGCCUGAUGCAGCUAUGCCGCGUGUAUGAAGAAGGCCUUAGGGUUGUAAAGUACUUUCAUCGGGGAGGAAAAACAAAACUAAUAAUUUUAUUUCUUGACGUUACCCGAAAAAGAAGCACCGGCUAACUCCGUGCCAGCAGCCGCGGUAAUACGGAGGGUGCUAGCGUUAAUCAGAAUUACUGGGCGUAAAGAGCACGUAGGUGGUUUUUUUAAGUCAGAUGUGAAAUCCCUGGGCUUAACCUAGGAACUGCAUUUUGAAACUGAAAUACUAGAGUAUCGUAGAGGGAGGUAGAAUUCUAGGUGUAGCGGUGAAAUGCGUAGAUAUCUGGAGGAAUACCUGUGGCGAAAGCGGCCUCCUAAACGAAUACUGACACUGAGGUGCGAAAGCGUGGGGAGCGAAACAGGGAUAGAUACC
RNAcentral lists this ribosomal RNA (455 nucleotides) under uncultured bacterium. RNAcentral describes it as "bacterial SSU rRNA". It matches the Rfam family "Bacterial small subunit ribosomal RNA", at positions 340 to 786 of the family's 1533-position model. The record is from RNAcentral.